Molecule: ribosomal RNA, 872 nt
Filed under: uncultured bacterium
Lineage: Bacteria
Description: bacterial SSU rRNA
Rfam family: Bacterial small subunit ribosomal RNA
Source: RNAcentral
GAUCCUGGCUCAUGAUGAACGCUAGCUACAGGCUUAACACAUGCAAGUCGAGGGGCAGCGGGAUUGAAGCUUGCUUCAAUUGCCGGCGACCGGCGCACGGGUGAGUAACGCGUAUCCAACCUUCCGUACAYUCAGGGAUAGCCUUUCGAAAGAAAGAUUAAUACCUGAUGGUAUGAUGAGAUUGCAUGAUAGCAUCAUUAAAGAUUUAUCGGUGUACGAUGGGGAUGCGUUCCAUUAGGUAGUAGGCGGGGUAACGGCCCACCUAGCCAACGAUGGAUAGGGGUUCUGAGAGGAAGGUCCCCCACAUUGGAACUGAGACACGGUCCAAACUCCUACGGGAGGCAGCAGUGAGGAAUAUUGGUCAAUGGACGAGAGUCUGAGCCAGCCAAGUAGCGUGAAGGAUGAAGGUCCUACGGAUUGUAAACUUCUUUUAUAAGGGAAUAAACCCUCCCACGUGUGGGAGCUUGUAUGUACCUUAUGAAUAAGCAUCGGCUAACUCCGUGCCAGCAGCCGCGGUAAUACGGAGGAUGCGAGCGUUAUCCGGAUUUAUUGGGUUUAAAGGGAGCGCAGACGGGUCGUUAAGUCAGCUGUGAAAGUUUGGGGCUCAACCUUAAAAUUGCAGUUGAUACUGGCGUCCUUGAGUGCGGUUGAGGUGUGCGGAAUUCGUGGUGUAGCGGUGAAAUGCUUAGAUAUCACGAAGAACUCCGAUUGCGAAGGCAGCACACUAAUCCGUAACUGACGUUCAUGCUCGAAAGUGUGGGUAUCAAACAGGAUUAGAUACCCUGGUAGUCCACACGGUAAACGAUGGAUACUCGCUGUUGGCGAUAUACUGUCAGCGGCUUAGCGAAAGCGUUAAGUAUCCCACCUGGGGA